GGCGGCGUGCUAAUACAUGCAAGUCGAGCGAAUGGAUUAAGAGCUUGCUCUUAUGAAGUUAGCGGCGGACGGGUGAGUAACACGUGGGUAACCUGCCCAUAAGACUGGGAUAACUCCGGGAAACCGGGGCUAAUACCGGAUAACAUUUUGAACCGCAUGGUUCGAAAUUGAAAGGCGGCUUCGGCUGUCACUUAUGGAUGGACCCGCGUCGCAUUAGCUAGUUGGUGAGGUAACGGCUCACCAAGGCAACGAUGCGUAGCCGACCUGAGAGGGUGAUCGGCCACACUGGGACUGAGACACGGCCCAGACUCCUACGGGAGGCAGCAGUAGGGAAUCUUCCGCAAUGGACGAAAGUCUGACGGAGCAACGCCGCGUGAGUGAUGAAGGCUUUCGGGUCGUAAAACUCUGUUGUUAGGGAAGAACAAGUGCUAGUUGAAUAAGCUGGCACCUUGACGGUACCUAACCAGAAAGCCACGGCUAACUACGUGCCAGCAGCCGCGGUAAUACGUAGGUGGCAAGCGUUAUCCGGAAUUAUUGGGCGUAAAGCGCGCGCAGGUGGUUUCUUAAGUCUGAUGUGAAAGCCCACGGCUCAACCGUGGAGGGUCAUUGGAAACUGGGAGACUUGAGUGCAGAAGAGGAAAGUGGAAUUCCAUGUGUAGCGGUGAAAUGCGUAGAGAUAUGGAGGAACACCAGUGGCGAAGGCGACUUUCUGGUCUGUAACUGACACUGAGGCGCGAAAGCGUGGGGAGCAAACAGGAUUAG
RNAcentral lists this ribosomal RNA (762 nucleotides) under Bacillus anthracis (anthrax bacterium). RNAcentral's name for it is "bacterial SSU rRNA". It matches the Rfam family "Bacterial small subunit ribosomal RNA", at positions 38 to 781 of the family's 1533-position model. The record is from RNAcentral. Lineage: Bacteria; Bacillati; Bacillota; Bacilli; Caryophanales; Bacillaceae.